ACGAACGCUAGCGGGAUGCCUCAAACAUGCAAGUCGUACGCGAAAGUGGCUUCGGCCAUUAGUAGAGUGGCGCACGGGUGCGUAACACGUAACUAACGUACCUCUUCGCUGUGGAUAACUCAGGGAAACCUGAGCUAAUACAGAAUAAUCUGCCGGGUUCUGCGGAACCUGUCGGUAAAGUCGCAAGACGCGAAGAGAUCGGGUUGCGGUCUAUUAGCUAGUUGGUGGGGUAACGGCGUACCAAGGCUACGAUAGAUAGCUGGUCUGAGAGGAUGAUCAGCCACACUGGAACUGGAACACGGUCCAGACUCCCACGGGAGGCAGCAGUUGGGAAUAUUGGACAAUGGGGUAACCCCUGAUCCAGCAAUCCCGCGUGAGUGAUGAAGGCCUUCGGGUUGUAAAGCUCUUUUAGUUGGGAAGAAGGGAAACUUGACUGUACCAACAGAAAAAGCACCGGCUAACUCUGU
Molecule: ribosomal RNA, 467 nt
Filed under: uncultured bacterium
Lineage: Bacteria
Description: bacterial SSU rRNA
Rfam family: Bacterial small subunit ribosomal RNA
Source: RNAcentral